GGGGGCGUUCUUGGAUUCGACGGGGAUAGUUCGAGCAUGGGUAGCGGGUAGUGGGGACGCGUCCGCUUUAUCAACGCUAACGCCUAUUAAACGGCAAACAACAAAACAACUACGCUUUAGCAGCUUAAUAACCUGUUAGCGUGCUCCUACCUAGCAUCGCCCAUGUGACUAGACUAGGGGCUAACAAAUAGUGGGAUACGCCGCUUCGGUCUCCGCCUGGGGUCGACGGAAGAAGAUAAUCAGGCUGACCCAAAGAGAAUCCGGUAACGGGGAGUCCCUAGGGUGACAUCAAAACUGUUACUACACCCGUAGAAGCUUAUGUGUCGUUAUUUUCGGACAGGGGUUCGACUCCCCUCGCCUCCAUAU
Paenibacillus pini JCM 16418 is the source of this 366-nucleotide non-coding RNA. It matches the Rfam family "transfer-messenger RNA". Rfam says of the family: Bacterial tmRNA, also known as 10Sa RNA or SsrA, is named for its dual tRNA and mRNA-like properties. Its role is to liberate the mRNA from a stalled ribosome. Lineage: Bacteria; Bacillati; Bacillota; Bacilli; Caryophanales; Paenibacillaceae. The record is from Rfam.